Molecule: ribosomal RNA, 499 nt
Filed under: Veillonella atypica
Lineage: Bacteria; Bacillati; Bacillota; Negativicutes; Veillonellales; Veillonellaceae
Description: bacterial SSU rRNA
Rfam family: Bacterial small subunit ribosomal RNA
Source: RNAcentral
GACGAACGCUGGCGGCGUGCUUAACACAUGCAAGUCGAACGAAGAGCGAUGGAAGCUUGCUUCUAUCAAUCUUAGUGGCGAACGGGUGAGUAACGCGUAAUCAACCUGCCCUUCAGAGGGGGACAACAGUUGGAAACGACUGCUAAUACCGCAUACGAUCCAAUCUCGGCAUCGAGACUGGAUGAAAGGUGGCCUCUAUUUAUAAGCUAUCACUGAAGGAGGGGAUUGCGUCUGAUUAGCUAGUUGGAGGGGUAACGGCCCACCAAGGCGAUGAUCAGUAGCCGGUCUGAGAGGAUGAACGGCCACAUUGGGACUGAGACACGGCCCAGACUCCUACGGGAGGCAGCAGUGGGGAAUCUUCCGCAAUGGACGAAAGUCUGACGGAGCAACGCCGCGUGAGUGAUGACGGCCUUCGGGUUGUAAAGCUCUGUUAAUCGGGACGAUAUGGUUCUUGUGCAAAUAGUGCGAGAAUUUGACGGUACCGGAAUAGAAAGCCACG